CCUACGGGGGGCAGCAGUGGGGAAUAUUGGACAAUGGGGGGAACCCUGAUCCAGCCAUGCCGCGUGUGUGAAGAAGGCCCUCGGGUUGUAAAGCACUUUCAGUGAGGAAGAACGCCUGGUGGUUAAUACCCAUCAGGAAAGACAUCACUCACAGAAGAAGCACCGGCUAACUCCGUGCCAGCAGCCGCGGUAAUACGGAGGGUGCGAGCGUUAAUCGGAAUUACUGGGCGUAAAGCGCGCGUAGGUGGCUUGAUAAGCCGGUUGUGAAAGCCCCGGGCUCAACCUGGGAACGGCAUCCGGAACUGUCAAGCUAGAGUGCAGGAGAGGAAGGUAGAAUUCCCGGUGUAGCGGUGAAAUGCGUAGAGAUCGGGAGGAAUACCAGUGGCGAAGGCGGCCUUCUGGACUGACACUGCCACUGAGGUGCGAAAGCGUGGGUAGCAAACAGGAUUAGAUACCCGGGUAGUC
Molecule: ribosomal RNA, 465 nt
Filed under: Vreelandella stevensii
Lineage: Bacteria; Pseudomonadati; Pseudomonadota; Gammaproteobacteria; Oceanospirillales; Halomonadaceae
Description: partial 16S ribosomal RNA
Rfam family: Bacterial small subunit ribosomal RNA
Source: RNAcentral